Molecule: ribosomal RNA, 295 nt
Filed under: uncultured bacterium
Lineage: Bacteria
Description: partial 16S ribosomal RNA
Rfam family: Bacterial small subunit ribosomal RNA
Source: RNAcentral
CCUACGGGAGGCAGCAGUGGGGGAUAUUGCACAAUGGGGGGAACCCUGAUGCAGCGACGCCGCGUGAGCGAUGGAGUACUUCGGUAUGUAAAGCUCUGUCAGCAGGGAAGAAAAUGACGGUACCUGACCAAGAAGCCCCGGCUAAAUACGUGCCAGCAGCCGCGGUAAUACGUAUGGGGCAAGCGUUAUCCGGAUUUACUGGGUGUAAAGGGUGCGUAGGCGGCCCUGCAAGUCAGAAGUGAAAUCCAUGGGCUUAACCCGUGAACUGCUUUUGAAACUGCAGGACUUGAGUGGA